UGCAGAUAAGUAUACUGUAGUGGCACGAGAUGGUGCCAAAAUAGUCGUUUGCAGUGAUAGAGGCGUUCAGUUUUCGAGGAAUGUGCAAGACGCUAAGCGAGUGCCAGAAACCUUCAAUGAAUCUGCAACGGAGUUACUAUCGGCCAACGAACAUUUGAACGAACAAGGACAGAGCUCUACACAGAAUAACGAAGAAAACAGAUUAAAUCGUGGUUUGAAUUCGGAUGAUAAACGAGAUCUGCAUUCCACUAUGGAUGACGAACCAAGGAGGUCAACUCGUGAAUUGAAGAAACCUUCUAAAUUUAAGGACAUGCUUCUUUAUACAAUAUUUGGAUAGUUGUGUUUGAUAAAUAACGAUUGCAUUAUGUAGUAUAAAAUAAAAUAAUGAUAAAGCAAAUUAGUAAAAAAAUAAAUCAAUAUUUAUCGUUUAUCAGACUUUGAGUAUUUUUUAAAAGAGUAGGACUAACGAAUAAUGUAAGGAGAUAAUGAAGGACUGUGAAUUUUAGAAUGCAAAUAGAUAAUAA
This is a long non-coding RNA of Aedes albopictus (Asian tiger mosquito), 524 nucleotides long. RefSeq lists it as uncharacterized. Lineage: Eukaryota; Metazoa; Arthropoda; Insecta; Diptera; Culicidae. The record is from RefSeq and is a predicted model, not a curated record. The transcript has 2 exons.